Molecule: ribosomal RNA, 485 nt
Filed under: uncultured soil bacterium
Lineage: Bacteria
Description: bacterial SSU rRNA
Rfam family: Bacterial small subunit ribosomal RNA
Source: RNAcentral
AGAUUGAACGCUGGCGGCAGGCCUAACACAUGCAAGUCGAGCGGCAGCACGGGUACUUGUACCUGGUGGCGAGCGGCGGACGGGUGAGUAAUGCCUAGGAAUCUGCCUGGUAGUGGGGGAUAACGCUCGGAAACGGACGCUAAUACCGCAUACGUCCUACGGGAGAAAGCAGGGGACCUUCGGGCCUUGCGCUAUCAGAUGAGCCUAGGUCGGAUUAGCUAGUUGGUGAGGUAAUGGCUCACCAAGGCGACGAUCCGUAACUGGUCUGAGAGGAUGAUCAGUCACACUGGAACUGAGACACGGUCCAGACUCCUACGGGAGGCAGCAGUGGGGAAUAUUGGACAAUGGGCGAAAGCCUGAUCCAGCCAUGCCGCGUGUGUGAAGAAGGUCUUCGGAUUGUAAAGCACUUUAAGUUGGAGAAGGCAGUUACCUAAUACGUAUCUGUUUGACGUUACCGACAGAAUAAGCACCGGCUAAACUCUGUG